RNAcentral lists this ribosomal RNA (253 nucleotides) under uncultured bacterium. RNAcentral describes it as "partial 16S ribosomal RNA". It matches the Rfam family "Bacterial small subunit ribosomal RNA", at positions 524 to 776 of the family's 1533-position model. The record is from RNAcentral.
UACGAAGGGGGCGAGCGUUGUUCGGAAUUACUGGGCGUAAAGCGUGCGCAGGCGGUUUUGUAAGCCAGAUGUGAAAGCCCCGGGCUUAACCUGGGAAUGGCAUUUGGGACUGCAAGGCUUGAGUGCGGCAGAGGAGACUGGAAUUCCUGGUGUAGCAGUGAAAUGCGUAGAUAUCAGGAGGAAUACCGAUGGCGAAGGCAGGUCUCUGGGCUGACACUGACGCUCAUGCACGAAAGCGUGGGGAGCAAACAGG